Molecule: ribosomal RNA, 532 nt
Filed under: Lasiodiplodia theobromae
Lineage: Eukaryota; Fungi; Ascomycota; Dothideomycetes; Botryosphaeriales; Botryosphaeriaceae
Description: SSU rRNA
Rfam family: Eukaryotic small subunit ribosomal RNA
Source: RNAcentral
GCCAGCAGCCGCGGUAAUUCCAGCUCCAAUAGCGUAUAUUAAAGUUCUUGCAGUUAAAAAGCUCGUAGUUGUACCUUGGGCCUGGCUGGCCGGUCUGCCUCACCGCAUGUACUGGUUCGGCCGGGUCUUUCCUCCUGGGGAUCCGCAUGCCCUUCACUGGGUGUGUUGGGGAACCAGGACUUUUACUUUGGAAAAAUUAGAGUGUUCAAAGCAGGCCUUUGCUCGAAUACAUUAGCAUGGAAUAAUAGAAUAGGACGUGCGGUCCUAUUUUGUUGGUUUCUAGGACCGGCGUAAUGAUUAAUAGGGAUAGUCGGGGGCAUCAGUAUUCAGUUGUCAGAGGUGUAAUUCUUGGAUUUACUGAAGACUAACUACUGCGAAAGCAUUUGCCAAGGAUGUUUUCAUUAAUCAGUGAACGACAGUUAGCGGAUCGAAGACGAUCAGAUACCGUCGUAGUCUUAACCGUAAACUAUGCCGACUAGGGAUCGGGCGAUGUUAUUCUUUUGACUCGCUCGGCACCUUACGAGAAAUCUAA